RNAcentral lists this ribosomal RNA (478 nucleotides) under uncultured bacterium. Its description in RNAcentral is "partial 16S ribosomal RNA". It matches the Rfam family "Bacterial small subunit ribosomal RNA", at positions 28 to 523 of the family's 1533-position model. The record is from RNAcentral.
GACGAACGCUGGCGGCGUGCUUAACACAUGCAAGUCGAGCGAUGAAGUUCCUUCGGGAAUGGAUUAGCGGCGGACGGGUGAGUAACACGUGGGUAACCUGCCUCAUAGAGGGGAAUAGCCUUUCGAAAGGAAGAUUAAUACCGCAUAAGAUUGUAGCUUCGCAUGAAGUAGCAAUUAAAGGAGUAAUCCGCUAUGAGAUGGACCCGCGUCGCAUUAGCUAGUUGGUGAGGUAACGGCUCACCAAGGCGACGAUGCGUAGCCGACCUGAGAGGGUGAUCGGCCACAUUGGGACUGAGACACGGCCCAGACUCCUACGGGAGGCAGCAGUGGGGAAUAUUGCACAAUGGGGGAAACCCUGAUGCAGCAACGCCGCGUGAGUGAUGACGGUCUUCGGAUUGUAAAGCUCUGUCUUCAGGGACGAUAAUGACGGUACCUGAGGAGGAAGCCACGGCUAACUACGUGCCAGCAGCCGCGGUAA